RNAcentral lists this ribosomal RNA (301 nucleotides) under uncultured bacterium. Its description in RNAcentral is "partial 16S ribosomal RNA". It matches the Rfam family "Bacterial small subunit ribosomal RNA", at positions 509 to 807 of the family's 1533-position model. The record is from RNAcentral.
CAGUCGCCGCGGUAAUACAGAGGGUGCGAGCGUUAAUCGGAUUUACUGGGCGUAAAGAGUGCGUAGGCGGCUUUUUAAGUCGGAUGUGAAAUCCCUGAGCUUAACUUAGGAAUUGCAUUCGAUACUGGGAAGCUAGAGUAUGGGAGAGGAUGGUAGAAUUCCAGGUGUAGCGGUGAAAUGCGUAGAGAUCUGGAGGAAUACCGAUGGCGAAGGCAGCCAUCUGGCCUAAUACUGACGCUGAGGUACGAAAGCAUGGGGAGCAAACAGGAUUAGAUACCCCAGUAGUCCCUGUCUCUUAUAC